Molecule: ribosomal RNA, 1356 nt
Filed under: uncultured marine eukaryote
Lineage: Eukaryota
Description: SSU rRNA
Rfam family: Eukaryotic small subunit ribosomal RNA
Source: RNAcentral
CACUUCUAAGGAAGGCAGCAGGCGCGCAAAUUACCCAAUCCUGACUCAGGGAGGUAGUGACAAGAAAUAACAAUAAACCGGCUUAUGCCGGUUUAAUUGGAAUGAGUACAAUUUAAACAUCUUAACGAGGAACAAUUGGAGGGCAAGUCUGGUGCCAGCAGCCGCGGUAAUUCCAGCUCCAAUAGCGUAUACUAAAGUUGUUGCAGUUAAAAAGCUCGUAGUUGGAUUUCUGUGGGGACGGAGCGGCCGGCCGCAACACGCGGUUCGAGCUAGCGCUUUCCCUACAUCCUGCCGCGAACCGUGCUACCAUUAAUUUGGUGGCGCCGGGGAUCGGCUCGAUUACUUUGAGAAAAAUAGAGUGUUCAAAGCAGGCCACAUGCCUUGAAUAAGUUAGCAUGGAAUAAUAACUAAGGACUUCGGUUCUAUUUUGUUGGUGUUCGGGACUGAAGUAAUGAUUGAUAGGGACAGUUGGGGCGGUCUGUAUUCCAAAGCGAGAGGUGAAAUUCUUAGACCUUCGGAAGACAAACAGCUGCGAAAGCGUUCCGCAAGGAUGUUCCCUUUGAUCAAGAACGAAAGUUGGGGGAUCGAAGACGAUCAGAUACCGUCGUAGUCUCAACUGUAAACUAUACCAGCUAGGGAUCGGCCAACGUUAUUUCAUACCGACUUGGUCGGCACCUUAUGAGAAAUCAAAGCAUCUGGGUUCCGGGGGGAGUAUGGUCGCAAGGCUGAAACUUAAAGGAAUUGACGGAAGGGCACCACCAGCCGUGGAGCCUGUGGCUUAAUUUGACUCAACACGGGAAAACUUACCAGGUCCAGACAUAGUAAGGAUUGACAGAUUGAUAGCUCUUUCUUGAUUCUGUGGGUGGUGGUGCAUGGCCGUUCUUAGUUGGUGGAGUGAUUUGUCUGGUUAAUUCCGUUAACGAACGAGACCCCAGCCUGCUAAAUAGCGCGCGUGAGCUUUGCUCGCGGCGAGCUUCUUAGAGGGACUAUGAUGCGCGAUAGCACAUGGAAGUUUAGGGCAAUAACAGGUCUGUGAUGCCCUUAGAUGUUCUGGGCCGCACACGGGCUACACUGGCGCCUGCAACGAGCAUAUCAGCUGGCCCGAGAGGGUCUUGGCUAAUCUUUUGAACCGGCGCCGUGCUUGGGAUUGACCUUUGCAAUUGUUGGUCAUGCAACGAGGAAUGCCUUGUAAACGCGAGUCAUCAGCUCGCAUUGAAUACGUCCCUGCCCUUUGUACACACCGCCCGUCGCUCCUACCGAUGAAUGUUCCGAUGAAAUUUUCGGAGAGUGCCUGUGAACUUGGCUCUGCCUUGCGAACGGGAAGCUCAAAGUCACUUUAAUCUGAACAUUUCGAGG